GACCAGACCCGUGGAGACCUGACUAUCGUCCAGCUUGGUUUGACAGACAAGGGCAAGUACAAGGUCACCAUGACACCCAAAGCUGGAACGGCUGAGGAGAAGACUUUCACAGUCAUAGUCACUGCUCGCGGGGGUCAACGCUGUUCGCUUUCGCUGCCGCUGAUGGCCAUUUGCAGCGUGAGCCUGAUGUGGUGGUUCUAGACGAGCUGAAUGGGAUCUUCGUCCAUCCGUCCGUCCACAUUCUCUUCCUGAUGACUCGGCUAAUGACAGGAGGACCCUCC
Syngnathus acus (greater pipefish) is the source of this 281-nucleotide long non-coding RNA. RefSeq lists it as uncharacterized. The transcript has 3 exons. Lineage: Eukaryota; Metazoa; Chordata; Actinopteri; Syngnathiformes; Syngnathidae. The record is from RefSeq and is a predicted model, not a curated record.